Molecule: unclassified non-coding RNA, 819 nt
Filed under: Hevea brasiliensis (rubber tree)
Lineage: Eukaryota; Viridiplantae; Streptophyta; Magnoliopsida; Malpighiales; Euphorbiaceae
Source: RNAcentral
GACGAAGAAGAGGAGGAGGAAGAAGGAGGCUGCUCUUGAAGCUUAUAUGGAUGGUCAUUCACAUUCUGCAACUGCCAACAGUGCCUGGAAGUUUACGAGUGCUCGUGAGGCGUUAAGCAUCAACCUUGCAGCAUUUGAGAAGCCUCUCAGGAAGCUCACAUUUGCUGAUCUUCUCGAAGCCACCAAUGGUUUCCACAACGACAGUCUUGUAGGCUCUGGUGGUUUUGGUGAUGUCUACAAAGCUCAGUUGAAGGAUGGGAGUGUUGUAGCUAUUAAGAAAUUGAUACACGUCAGUGGACAGGGUGAUCGAGAAUUCACUGCUGAAAUGGAAACCAUAGGGAAGAUCAAGCACCGCAACCUUGUCCCUCUUUUGGGCUACUGCAAAGUAGGGGAAGAAAGACUACUGGUUUAUGAAUACAUGAAGUAUGGAAGUCUUGAAGAUGUCCUGCAUGAUCGGAAGAAAAUUGGGAUCAAGCUGAAUUGGCCUGCAAGAAGGAAAAUUGCCAUUGGAGCUGCGAGAGGUUUGGCUUUCCUACACCAUAACUGCAUUCCACACAUCAUUCACCGGGACAUGAAAUCAAGUAAUGUCUUGCUUGAUGAAAAUUUGGAAGCCAGAGUAUCUGAUUUCGGAAUGGCAAGGUUAAUGAGUGCUAUGGACACUCAUUUGAGUGUCAGCACUCUUGCCGGCACUCCAGGAUACGUACCUCCUGAAUAUUACCAAAGCUUUAGAUGUUCUACAAAAGGAGACGUUUAUAGUUAUGGUGUCGUAUUACUUGAGCUUCUAACCGGCAAACAGCCAACAGAUUCAGCUGAUUUUGG